UAGGGAAUCUUCCGCAAUGGACGAAAGCCUGAUCCAGCCAUGCCGCGUGAGUGAAGAAGGCCUUCGGGUUGUAAAGCUCUUUUAGUCGGAAAGAAAGAGUUGCAAUGAAUAGUUGUGAUUUAUGACGGUACCGACAGAAAAAGCACCGGCUAACUACGUGCCAGCAGCCGCGGUAAUACGUAGGGUGCGAGCGUUAAUCGGAAUUACUGGGCGUAAAGGGUGCGCAGGCGGUCUUGCAAGUCAGAUGUGAAAGCCCCGGGCUUAACCUGGGAAUUGCGUUUGAAACUACAAGGCUAGAGUGCAGCAGAGGGGAGUGGAAUUCCAUGUGUAGCAGUGAAAUGCGUAGAGAUGUGGAAGAACACCGAUGGCGAAGGCAGCUCCCUGGGUUGACACUGACGCUCAUGCACGAAAGCGUGGGGAUCAAACA
RNAcentral lists this ribosomal RNA (427 nucleotides) under uncultured beta proteobacterium. RNAcentral's name for it is "bacterial SSU rRNA". It matches the Rfam family "Bacterial small subunit ribosomal RNA", at positions 355 to 774 of the family's 1533-position model. The record is from RNAcentral. Lineage: Bacteria; Pseudomonadati; Pseudomonadota; Betaproteobacteria.